CACUUUGGGAGAAAACAAUAGUGACGUGAAUUUCUUUUUUUUUUUUUUUUAGCAACAGCAAGUUCUUAAUAUUGUUGGACAAUUUUUAAAAGAGGAAAUUAAGGAAGCAACUACAUAGUUCCUUUAUUACCAACGUUCAUAUCACAAAAGCAGCGAGCUUUUCUUCAUUUCACGGUAGAAAAUGUAAUCUUUCUCAAGGACAGCAUACAGGUUUCGCACACCGCUUCGAUCUUGUUGUUCCGUUUGUCGCGUGGUUGAAUUCGAACUUUCUUCAAAGUGAAUUAAGGAGGAAGAAGAGGAUUUCUUGGCAAAUAAGGAUAAAGGGGCGAUGAAGCAAGCUUGGUUACGAUCGGUCUAUAACAGGUACAGACAAUCGGUUUGGUGACCCUUCAGCAUAGGACUUCUACUCAGCUGUCUUGGAGAGCUCCGUUGUUCCGGAGUCUAGACUUUUAAUACAGAUCUCAUGAUAUAUAUAUGUAUAUGUUUAUCCAGGGGUACGGCGGGGCCCUAUUCCGUCAUAGGUUACUGUUGAUACUCUUAGAGGUCUGUAGACAUAUGUGUGGGUUGUGUAUAAGUUUUGUUCAGCCGUGUCUAAACGAUGUGCGAUGGAUAUGUUCGUCUGUGAUGGCAGCCUUGUCGGCUUGCAUAUGAUAUGAUAUUGAUGUAUAGUGGCAGCCUUGUCGGCUUGCGUAUCAUUUUAUGAUUUGAUCAGUA
Lycium barbarum (goji berry) is the source of this 714-nucleotide long non-coding RNA. RefSeq lists it as uncharacterized. The record is from RefSeq and is a predicted model, not a curated record. The transcript is spliced from 3 exons. Lineage: Eukaryota; Viridiplantae; Streptophyta; Magnoliopsida; Solanales; Solanaceae.